CGCUGAUCUUGUGUGCAUUUACACUAAUACUGAACUUGGCCCAGAGGAUUUUGCAUCUCAAUGAUGAGAAAUAGAGAAGCUCAGCACCCACAGUUCCCAGGCGUUUGUAGUAAUCAGGCUGGAGCAUCACGCUAUCCAGAAAUAUCGGAGUAAAACAGAUAUUUUAAUAGCGCUGAUGUUAAAGCACAGGAGCUGGAGGAGGUAGGGAGAAGUGCUUGCCAGUGGUUCGGAUGCUGCGCUGCCAGGCAGCUCACAGUCCCAGUCACGUUGCAGGCCAAACCAGAUGGGCAAGCAAUACAAGCUGUGAAUUUAUUCUUGAUCCCUGUAGGACAGUGACCACCUCCGUUUUUACCAUCACCGUACAGAUAUGCACUGUCAAUAAGUGAAAAGGUCAAGAAAAGCAGUAGCUCAGUGGCUCAAUUUUUCAGGAGUGCUUUACAGCAGGGAAAGUGGGGAGACCUCUUAUAGUGUUGUCUUAUUCAGUAAGGUAAACCUUUUGUCCUUCAGUUACUUUAUUUUUGCUAAUUUUUUGUUGAAUUUUGUUAUCACAUU
Molecule: long non-coding RNA, 552 nt
Filed under: Apteryx rowi (Okarito brown kiwi)
Lineage: Eukaryota; Metazoa; Chordata; Aves; Apterygiformes; Apterygidae
Description: lncRNA (ENSARWG00000006726.1)
Source: RNAcentral